Molecule: microRNA precursor, 157 nt
Filed under: Leersia perrieri
Lineage: Eukaryota; Viridiplantae; Streptophyta; Magnoliopsida; Poales; Poaceae
Description: pre miRNA mir-393
Rfam family: mir-393 microRNA precursor family
Source: Rfam by way of RNAcentral
AGUGUAAGACUCCAAAGGGAUCGCAUUGAUCUGGCUAGCUAAUAGCUACAGCUCGAAUGCCCUCUAUGCAUCGAUCUGCAGCAUUAGCUUCACGCAUGGAUGCUCUCGAUCGACGACGUGCAAGAUCGAUCAGUGCAAUCCCUUUGGAAUUUUCCAC